Molecule: ribosomal RNA, 534 nt
Filed under: Nennalpheus sibogae
Lineage: Eukaryota; Metazoa; Arthropoda; Malacostraca; Decapoda; Alpheidae
Description: partial large subunit ribosomal RNA
Rfam family: Bacterial large subunit ribosomal RNA
Source: RNAcentral
GUCCUUAGGGGUAUAGUGUAAGGUCUGGCCUGCCCACUGAGAUUUAAAGGGCCGCGGUAUAUUGACCGUGCGAAGGUAGCAUAAUCAGUAGUCUUUUAAUUGGAGGCUUGAAUGAAUGGUCGGACGUAAGGAAAACUGUCUUUACUCUAGGUGUUGAAAUUGACUUUUAUGUGAAAAGGCAUGAAUAGGUUAGGGGGACGAUAAGACCCUAUAAAACUUUAUAUUUGGCUGGUUGGGUUUUAAAUAUUAGGUUAACUGAAUUUGGCUUGUAGGUAUUUUAUUGGGGCGAUAGAGAUAUAAUUAAAUAACUGUCUUAUAAGUGGAAUAAUAAUAGUUAGAAAUGGAUCCUGAAGUUUAGGGUUAAAGUUCAAGUUACUUUAGGGAUAACAGCGUUAUUUCUCUUGAGAGUUCAUAUCGACAGAGAUAGUUGCGACCUCGAUGUUGAAUUAAAAUUACUUUUAGGAGCAGAUAUUUAAUAAGUGGGUCUGUUCGACCUUUAAAAUUUUACAUGAUUUGAGUUCAAACCGGUGUGAG